AGAGUUUGAUCAUGGCUCAGAUUGAACGCUGGCGGCAGGCCUAACACAUGCAAGUCGAACGGUAACAGGAAACAGCUUGCUGUUUCGCUGACGAGUGGCGGACGGGUGAGUAAUGUCUGGGAAACUGCCUGAUGGAGGGGGAUAACUACUGGAAACGGUAGCUAAUACCGCAUAACGUCGCAAGACCAAAGAGGGGGACCUUCGGGCCUCUUGCCAUCGGAUGUGCCCAGAUGGGAUUAGCUUGUUGGUGGGGUAACGGCUCACCAAGGCGACGAUCCCUAGCUGGUCUGAGAGGAUGACCAGCCACACUGGAACUGAGACACGGUCCAGACUCCUACGGGAGGCAGCAGUGGGGAAUAUUGCACAAUGGGCGCAAGCCUGAUGCAGCCAUGCCGCGUGUAUGAAGAAGGCCUUCGGGUUGUAAAGUACUUUCAGCGGGGAGGAAGGGAGUAAAGUUAAUACCUUUACUCAUUGACGUUACCCGCAGAAGAAGCACCGGCUAACUCCGUGCCAGCAGCCGCGGUAAUACGGAGGGUGCAAGCGUUAAUCGGAAUUACUGGGCGUAAAGCGCACGCAGGCGGUUUGUUAAGUCAGAUGUGAAAUCCCCGGGCUCAACCUGGGAACUGCAUCUGAUACUGGCAAGCUUGAGUCUCGUAGAGGGGGGUAGAAUUCCAGGUGUAGCGGUGAAAUGCGUAGAGAUCUGGAGGAAUACCGGUGGCGAAGGCGGCCCCCUGGACGAAGACUGACGCUCAGGUGCGAAAGCGUGGGGAGCAAACAGGAUUAGAUACCCUGGUAGUCCACGCCGUAAACGAUGUCGACUUGGAGGUUGUGCCCUUGAGGCGUGGCUUCCGGAGCUAACGCGUUAAGUCGACCGCCUGGGGAGUACGGCCGCAAGGUUAAAACUCAAAUGAAUUGACGGGGGCCCGCACAAGCGGUGGAGCAUGUGGUUUAAUUCGAUGCAACGCGAAGAACCUUACCUGGUCUUGACAUCCACGGAAGUUUUCAGAGAUGAGAAUGUGCCUUCGGGAACCGUGAGACAGGUGCUGCAUGGCUGUCGUCAGCUCGUGUUGUGAAAUGUUGGGUUAAGUCCCGCAACGAGCGCAACCCUUAUCCUUUGUUGCCAGCGGUCCGGCCGGGAACUCAAAGGAGACUGCCAGUGAUAAACUGGAGGAAGGUGGGGAUGACGUCAAGUCAUCAUGGCCCUUACGACCAGGGCUACACACGUGCUACAAUGGCGCAUACAAAGAGAAGCGACCUCGCGAGAGCAAGCGGACCUCAUAAAGUGCGUCGUAGUCCGGAUUGGAGUCUGCAACUCGACUCCAUGAAGUCGGAAUCGCUAGUAAUCGUGGAUCAGAAUGCCACGGUGAAUACGUUCCCGGGCCUUGUACACACCGCCCGUCACACCAUGGGAGUGGGUUGCAAAAGAAGUAGGUAGCUUAACCUUCGGGAGGGCGCUUACCACUUUGUGAUUCAUGACUGGGGUGAAGUCGUAACAAGGUAACCGUAGGGGAACCUGCGGUUG
This 1522-nucleotide ribosomal RNA is filed under the name Escherichia coli. RNAcentral's name for it is "bacterial SSU rRNA". It matches the Rfam family "Bacterial small subunit ribosomal RNA". RNAcentral also lists the same sequence under 2 other names. Lineage: Bacteria; Pseudomonadati; Pseudomonadota; Gammaproteobacteria; Enterobacterales; Enterobacteriaceae. The record is from RNAcentral.